This 143-nucleotide non-coding RNA is filed under the name Treponema brennaborense. Its description in RNAcentral is "Guanine sequence". It matches the Rfam family "Purine riboswitch aptamer". Rfam says of the family: Riboswitches are metabolite binding domains within certain messenger RNAs that serve as precision sensors for their corresponding targets. Allosteric rearrangement of mRNA structure is mediated by ligand binding, and this results in modulation of gene expression. A class of riboswitches that selectively recognises guanine and becomes saturated at concentrations as low as 5 nM. Lineage: Bacteria; Pseudomonadati; Spirochaetota; Spirochaetia; Treponematales; Treponemataceae. RNAcentral also lists the same sequence under 1 other name. The record is from RNAcentral.
UAUAGUAUUUUAUCGACGGCUCAUAUAAUUUCAUGAUGACGGUUUGACUUCUCCUUUCUUGAGAACCUCCUCAGUCAAUCCGGGGUAUGAAAGUUUCUACCGGCCACCCGAAACGGCUGACUAUGGGUUCCGUUUUUCUUUGG